AUGUCCAUGAUGUGACAGAGCCUCAACAAAUCCUUGUAUCUCUCCCAUGCUUCUAAAAGAGAUUCAUUUUAUUUUUUCCUAAAUCCGUUGAUUUUACUUCUUAGCGU
Lathyrus oleraceus (garden pea) is the source of this 107-nucleotide small nucleolar RNA. The record is from RefSeq and is a predicted model, not a curated record. NCBI's taxonomy places the organism in Eukaryota, Viridiplantae, Streptophyta, Magnoliopsida, Fabales, Fabaceae.